This 1419-nucleotide long non-coding RNA is filed under the name Mus musculus (house mouse). RNAcentral describes it as "long non-coding RNA chr3:41041144-41042563". The record is from RNAcentral. Lineage: Eukaryota; Metazoa; Chordata; Mammalia; Rodentia; Muridae.
UUUAUAUGGUAACCUUCAUUAGUUACACAGUGUCCCAUCUCCAGAGGUUUACAUUCAAAGUGUCAGCUGGAUAUCGGGGCUCAGUGGUAUGUGCUUCCUUCCAUCCUUGUGAGCAGCAGUUACAAGUUUUCCUCUCCAUUAAAAUGGGGGGGGGGGUUUGGAUUGUUUUCAUCUUCUUGUCCUGUAAUCAUUUUUUACACUUUUGGGACACAUGCCACAGUGAACACGUGGAGGUCAAAGGACAACUCGCAGAAGGCACUUGUCCUCACAGUGUGGGUCGGGGGGAUUGAACUCAGGUCAUCGGGGUUGGCUGGCAGGGCCUUUACUUUGUGAACUGUCUUGCUGGCCUAUUGCCAUCUUGCUCAGGUUACUGAGUGAGAACUUGCUCUGUCUGUUGAUUGUAUUCUUUGUAGAUUGCUUGGUCGUGUCUCUUCUUGUCCUUAGGGGGAAUGUUUAUAUUCAUUGAUUAAUUUAUUUGGCAUUUACCUCACCAACAAUAUUGACCCCGUGCUGUCUGAUCUUAUGUUUAAGUACAUUUUUAAGCCAUUUAUUUAUUUUUAUUUUCUGCUCUUUGGUGUUUUGCCUGCAAGUAUGUCUGAAGAUGGCAGAUCCCUGAAACUGGAGUUACAGAUGGUUGUGAGGUGCCAUGUGGUUGCUGGGAAUUGAACCCAGGUUCUCUGGAAGAGCAGCCAGUGUUCUUAACUGCUGAGCCAUCUCUCCAGCCCCAAGUACAUUUUUUUGAUAAAAGUUAAAAAUUAUGCCCCCCUUAAUUCUAAAUGUAAAACUUUAGCAGUAAAGAAAUUGGCGUUUGAUGAAAAGAAAAUACUAUAAACUGACUAUGAAUCUUAAGUGAUCAGAUCCACAAUUUAAGUCCCUGGAGAUCCUGCCCUUCCUUUCCUGGGACAGGCGUGGGGUCCAGCAGGUUGUGUAGCUGAAGACGGCCUUGCCUCCUGAUCUUUGCCUCCUGAUCUUCCUCUACUGAUAUGAUCACUGUGGACCACCGUGUCUGGUGUAGCUUUGAUUUUGAUUUUUCUGAACUUGUUUUGAGAGCUGACACCUCGGCAUUUCUGGCAUUUUCUUAGCCUCUUGCUGUCAUGCUGUGAUGUUACCACUUUUUGUGUGUGCUCCAUCUUUUCCUGCAACUAAUUCCUUAGGCCCUAGAAACUCAGUUAUUCUAUUCUUUCAUGGGAGACAGAUCCAGUAGAAUAAUAGCCAAUUGUAUAACCACUAGAUGGCAGAAUAGGACAUGUCAGAGCUAUGGACUUGUGACAUAGGAGUGUGUGUCUGUGUGUGUGUGUGUGUGUGUGUGUGUGUGUGUGUGUGUGUGUUUGGUGUGUGUGUGUUGAACUCUUACUCCAUCUUGUGGUGAUAUAAAAUUAUAUCAAUGGCUUGAAUUACUAAUAUUCAUACAUAUAUCCC